CUCUUUCUGUUAUUCAGAUUGAAUAUUGAUUUCUAGGUAAAAAGUGAAACAGGAGUACUUUGAUUUACUUUUCUGUUUAUACAUGUAUCAUUGGUAAGCAGAAGUAUUUACAAUAAAACUGUGCACAGUAACAUUUGCUGAAGGACGGAUUCCAGUUAAGUACAGACAUGUCAGUAUUACAGCCCUGUGUUGCUGGAUUAUCAGCUACUGCUUUCCCUAGUGGAAAUUAAUACCUCUACUCUUCCAGAGGCCUCUCCACUGCCUGAAAAUGCUCUGGAAGAUGAUUAUGAUGAUGCAACAGAGGCCCCUGGACCUAGAGAUGCUUCUCUUUCUGAGCAGAAUGAACAGGAAAUCAUUGGGAUCCCUGGAGAAAGUGACAGAAACAAGGAUUCCCAGACAGACUGGAUUCCCAGAAACAGGACCUCUGAAGCUGAGAGAUCCUCAUCCCCUGCUCUUGAGGAUACGGGCUAUGACGACAUUGAAGAGCUGGGGCACUGAUAGACUGCUGAGCUGCACUGACUUCUUCUGGAAAUACACCACUGUUCAUAAAAUGCUAAUCCUGUACUAGCAGAACCAGACCAACCUGCAUUUAGGACUAGCUUGCAUAAGUUUUGGUUAUUUCACAAGAAGAGAUUAUAUAUGUAAAAUUUAAGGAAGCAUGGUGGUUAAGAACAGCUUUGAAAUUUCUCUUAUAAUUUCUUGUUGUUAAGACUUAGUGGACACUUUUUGAUUUUAUUUUAAAUACCUUCCUUCUUUUUUUUUUUUUUUUUUUUUAAUGAGUUAAUUUUAAAAUUAUGAUUUUUCUUAUUAGAAACUGUCCAAAGAUCUCAAAUUUAUGUUUUUUCUCCCAGAUAUAUGGGGACAGUUUCUGGUAAUUAUUUGGAAUGGAGAUUGAACUGCAAGAAAAUAAUCAAAAUUCUGUUUCAGCCAAGUCUUUUGAGAAAGGAAUUCUUGCUGAUUGCUUCUGCAGCAACAUCAACAAGAUCUGACACGUGUGCUGCAGGCAUGCUAUGAGGCACAGAAGGAGGGAAACACAUACACCCAUGGGAUUUAACUGCAUCAUACAAUCUACUUUUCCUGGCUCACUAACAGGAAAGCUGGGAAAGUAGAAAGUUUUUGCAAGGAAUAGUAAAAGGCAGCAGAAACCAUCAGGAGCAACAAAUGUUGUGCUAAAAAAAGGUGUAGCAAACUAUUUAUCCCUGUCAGAACUAUCUGCACAGGACAGAACUUCUCCUCUCCAGGUGCACCAGGCAGUGACCAGGAAGAAGGAAUCCCUGGAGACUCAGAGAUGGCAACAACUGAUGUCACAGGCAUGAUCCAGUUGAGCUGAGUGCUCUCCAGGUGACUGGGUUAUAUAAUCCUCAGCGUGACUGAGUAAGUGGACUGACAUUGGGAAUGUGUUAAAAUUUGUAGCCAAACUCUUACAGCAUCCUGACUGCACCUGAAUGGCACCUGCACAAGGAAAUGUUUAGGAUAAUUGGAGUAAUUGGAUUAAAAGCAUAUUAACAAUUAACAAGAUUAAUAAAAGAUGUAAAAUGGCUUAACUGUGGGAUCUG
Molecule: long non-coding RNA, 1556 nt
Organism: Junco hyemalis (dark-eyed junco)
Lineage: Eukaryota; Metazoa; Chordata; Aves; Passeriformes; Passerellidae
Source: Ensembl